GGUUAGGACGCCGCCCUUUCACGGCGGAAACAGGGGUUCGAUUCCCCUUGGGCGUACCA
This 59-nucleotide transfer RNA is filed under the name Brucella canis. Its description in RNAcentral is "tRNA-Ser". It matches the Rfam family "tRNA", at positions 17 to 71 of the family's 71-position model. From Rfam's summary of the family: Transfer RNA (tRNA) molecules are approximately 80 nucleotides in length. Their secondary structure includes four short double-helical elements and three loops (D, anti-codon, and T loops). Lineage: Bacteria; Pseudomonadati; Pseudomonadota; Alphaproteobacteria; Hyphomicrobiales; Brucellaceae. The record is from RNAcentral.